CGGCGCAAUUUAAUAUGAUCUCCGUCUAAACCGGGAGAAGGAGAAAACGAAUAGAGAAAGAGAAAGAGGAGGAGACGUCGAGCGACGGUGUUAUUCCCGGAUUUCAAAGGCGGCGAUCCCUCCGGCACGGGUAAUUUCUGCCCCUUCACGGUUAGUCUAAAGACUGAGAGAUUCAGCCAAACCACCGAGGGAGGGUAAUGCGGGCUCACCCGAUUGAGAUUGACACCCAUUAUGAUGGCCACUUCUAUUAUGAUGUCUGGGGUGGUUAGAGAGCAAGUCACCCUCACAGCCAUUCUUGUUUUACUGGUAAGGACUUAGAUCCAAUAUCCCACUCUUUAUUCACUGAUUUGGAACUAAAAGGCUGGAGGGAGGAUAUAGGGGACCGUAAAUCUUGAGAAACACCCCAGCAGAAGUGUUCUGCAAAAACAAUGUUUCAGAUACUUGGGACCGAUGGAGAUAGAAGCAUAUGAAGUGAUGAUGGAAGAUGGGAGACUAAUGUAUAAAACUGAGCAUGACUCUGUCUGACCAAUUCGACAGAGGAAUACAAGUCGAUUUUUGUACUUGGCACGACUACAAAAUCCCAGCACUCAAGUUUUUUUUUUUUAUCUGGAGGCGCCACUACAGCUGCUUGAAGAUUGGUCGCUCGCGAUAGGAUCCUUGAGGUACGUGAAGUCAUCAGUCUCUGCCUCUCCCUCGGGAAUGAAUCUCUCUCUAUGUUAUGUAAACUAAAAGGUUAAGUUUCUUAGAGGAGCACAAUGUUGAUUGAUCUCACCAAUGUUAAGAGAUAUGUUCGGUGAAAUGAGGAACAUAAUCCACUGCGGACGAAGAAGAAGGACCAAAAGAAGUUGUCAGAGCAAGAAGAGAGGGAGAGAGAAAGAGAAAGAGAGCACAGAAUGCAGUGUUUGAUCCUGUAAAGAUACACUUUUCUUGUAAAUGGACAAGUGGAUAUGGUCCAAGAAUUGGGUGUGUUAGAGAAUGGAGAGCUACAAGCACAAGCGCGGUGGAGCAAGUCAGCCUCUCUCUCCUCGGGUUUCGCCAGCUAAUCUAGUCUAACCAAUAAGAUCUUCUAUAACUAUGUAAAAGUAUUUUAUACUUUCCUUUUAUUGUGUCGUGUAUGUAGAAUUUUUACGUAUCAAGGAAACAUUUUUAGCCCCAUACAGAGGUGUAGUUUGUUUCCCUGUUUUACUAUAUAGUCUUAUGUACUUUCCCCUUUUUGGCCAA
Molecule: non-coding RNA, 1221 nt
Organism: Camelina sativa (false flax)
Lineage: Eukaryota; Viridiplantae; Streptophyta; Magnoliopsida; Brassicales; Brassicaceae
Source: RefSeq, a predicted model, not a curated record